Molecule: ribosomal RNA, 506 nt
Filed under: uncultured bacterium
Lineage: Bacteria
Description: partial 16S ribosomal RNA
Rfam family: Bacterial small subunit ribosomal RNA
Source: RNAcentral
AGUGAACGCUGGCGGUAGGCCUAACACAUGCAAGUCGAACGGCAGCACAGGAGAGCUUGCUCUCUGGGUGGCGAGUGGCGGACGGGUGAGGAAUACAUCGGAAUCUACUCUGUCGUGGGGGAUAACGUAGGGAAGCUUACGCUAAUACCGCAUUCGACCUACGGGUGCAAGCAGUGGACCUUCGGCCCGUGCGCGAUUGAAUGAGCCGAUGUCGGAUUAGCUCGUGGGCGGGGUGAAGGCCCACCAAGGCGACGAGCCGUAGCUGGUCUGGGAGGAUGAUCAGCCAGACUGGAACUGAGACACGUUCCAGACUCCUACGGGAGGCAGCAGUGGGGAAUAUUGGACAAUGGGCGCAAGCCUGAUCCAGCCAUACCGCGUGGGUGAAGAAGGCCUUCGGGUUGUAAAGCCCUUUUGUUGGGAAAGAAAUCCAGUUGGCUAAUACCCGGUUGGGAUGACGGUACCCAAAGAAUAAGCACCGGCUAACUUCGUGCCAGCAGCCGCAGUAA